This 254-nucleotide ribosomal RNA is filed under the name uncultured bacterium. Its description in RNAcentral is "partial 16S ribosomal RNA". It matches the Rfam family "Bacterial small subunit ribosomal RNA", at positions 524 to 776 of the family's 1533-position model. The record is from RNAcentral.
UACGGAGGGGGCAAGCGUUGUUCGGAAUUACUGGGCGUAAAGGGCGCGUAGGCGGCGCGAUAAGUUGGGCGUGAAAGGCCCGGGCUCAACCCGGGGACUGCGCUUGAUACUGUCGCGCUGUGAGUCCGGGAGAGGAUGGCGGAAUUCCCAGUGUAGAGGUGAAAUUCGUAGAUAUCGGGAGGAACACCAGUGGCGAAGGCGGCAACCUGGACAGAUAUUGACGCUGAGGUGCGAAAGCGUGGGGAGCAAACAGG